This is a non-coding RNA of Camelina sativa (false flax), 2511 nucleotides long. The record is from RefSeq and is a predicted model, not a curated record. Lineage: Eukaryota; Viridiplantae; Streptophyta; Magnoliopsida; Brassicales; Brassicaceae.
GGCCUGAACAGCUUUUGAGAAGAACUCAGUUAAUGGAGCGAUGGGCUAGAUGGGAGAUUAGCAAUUUUGAAUACUUAAUGCAGCUUAACACGUUGGCUGGCCGUAGUUAUAAUGACAUUACUCAGUAUCCUGUUUUUCCGUGGAUUAUUUCUGACAACAGUUCAGAAAGUCUAGACCUUUCAAAUCCAUCUACCUUCAGAGAUCUUUCGAAGCCAAUUGGUGCAUUGAACCCAGAGCGUCUCAAAAAAUUUCAAGAGCGAUAUUCUAGCUUUGAAGAUCCAGUUAUUCCCAAAUUCCACUAUGGCUCACAUUACUCAAGUGCUGGAGCAGUGUUGUAUUAUCUGGCCAGAGUUGAACCGUUCACAACUCUGUCAAUUCAACUUCAAGGUGGAAAGUUUGAUCAUGCAGACCGCAUGUUUUCAGACAUUCCAGGCACUUGGAAUGGAGUUCUAGAAGACAUGAGUGAUGUGAAAGAAUUGGUUCCAGAGUUGUUUUACCUCCCUGAGGUGCUGACAAACGAAAAUUCGAUUGACUUUGGUACAACACAGUUGGGAGAAAAGCUUGAUGCUGUAAAACUUCCUCCUUGGGCCAAAAACCCAGUGGAUUUUGUACACAAGCAACGAAGGGCUCUUGAGAGCGAGCAUGUAUCUGCACAUUUACAUGAAUGGAUUGAUCUCAUAUUUGGAUAUAAACAACGUGGCAAAGAAGCUAUAUUGGCAAAUAACGUUUUCUUCUACAUUACUUAUGAGGGGACUGUUGAUAUUGACAAGAUCACGGACCCGGUACAACAACGUGCUACACAAGACCAGAUAGCUUAUUUUGGGCAAACACCAUCCCAGCUAUUGACUGUUCCUCACAUGAAGAGGAUGCCGUUGAAAGAUGUGCUACAUAUGCAGACUAUUUUUCGAAAUCCAAAAGAAAUAAAACCGUAUGCUGUCCAAGCUCCGGAACGCUGCAACUUACCGGCCUCAGCUAUUCAGGCAUCUUCAGAUAGUGUUGUGAUUGUGGACAUGAAUGUGCCAGCAGCUCGUGUUGCACAGCACAAGUGGCAACCAAACACCCCUGAUGGCCAAGGUACUCCUUUCCUCUUUCAUCAUGGGAAGGCAACAGCGACUUCAACUAGUGGAUCAUUGAUGCGCAUGUUCAAGGGUCCAGCUAGUUCUGGAACUGGUGACUGGCAAUUUCCUCAGGCACAGGCAUUUGCCGCAUCAGGAAUCAGAAGUUCCUCCGUUGUUGGUAUUACAAGCGACGGGGAAAUAAUCACAGGUGGACAUGCGGAUAACAGUAUCAAGCUGGUCUCAUCUGAUGGAGCAAAAACUCUGGAAACAGCUUUUGGGCACUGUGCCCCUGUUACAUGUCUGGCUCUGUCUCCAGACAACAACUUCCUUGUGACGGGUUCACGAGACAGUACUGUUUUGCUGUGGAGAAUUCACAAGGCCUUUACUUCUCGAACAAGCGUGUCUGAGCCAUCAACUGGCUCCGGGGCGCCCUCCUCCGCCAGCAACACGAAUCUGGCCAACUCAUUGGCAAACAAAGGCAAAAAGUGUCGUAUUGAAGGGCCGAUACAAGUGCUCCGUGGCCAUCGAAGAGAAAUAAUUUGUUGUUGUGUCAGCUCAGAUCAAGGAGUCGUUGUUUCGUCUUCUGAGUCCUCAGAUGUUCUAUUGCAUUCCAUUAGAAAAGGACGGCUGAUCAGACGAUUAGUUGGUGUGACCGCUGAUUCUCUCUGCAUUUCAUCUGAUGGGAUUAUAAUGGCAUGGAUGAGUUUGGAAGGUUCUAUUAGCGUGUUCACCAUUAACGGGGUUCUGAUCGCAAAAGCAAAACUUCCUUUCUCUUGUAGCAUAAGUUGCAUGGAAAUAUCUAUGGAUGGUCAAAAUGCGUUGAUUGGGAUGAACUCAUGUUCCAGCAUGGACUUGUCGAGCAGUAACGAUACAUCAAAAGAUGGCAACGAAAUUGAAAGACUAGAUGUUCCAUCUCCUUCAAUUUGCUUCCUCAACUUAUACACACUAAAGGUAUUCCAUGUGCUUAAGCUUGGUCAAGGCCAGGAUAUAAGCGCACUGACUCUGAACAUUGACAACACAAACCUAUUAGUAUCCACGGAAGAUAAACAGUUGAUAAUCUUCACUGAUCCAGCUUUAAGCUUAAAGGUGGUGGAUCAGAUGCUGAAGCUCGGGUGGGAAUGAAAGUAUAGAAUCAGACCUCAUUGUUACACACGGCAAGAAAAAAAAAUUGUCGGAAAAUCUCAGGUUUGAUUACUUGGAAGUCUAAGGUGAAGUAGCAAGCCGUGGAAAUCUUAAACUCAAAUUGUGAACAUGUUUGUUCGUCUGUAACAUAUUUUUUUUUGUGGAGAUGGUUUAUAGAGAGAUCAAAGGCCUGUUGAGAUUGGCGAGGUAUACACACCGGAGCUUCCUUUUUUUUUUCUCCCCAUUGAGUUUGUUUGUUGGUUAUGUCUGUGAUAAAUUGGCCUCUUUACUGAUGAUUUUAAUAUAUAUUCAUUUAUACAGAGCAAAUUUA